RNAcentral lists this ribosomal RNA (498 nucleotides) under uncultured bacterium. RNAcentral's name for it is "partial 16S ribosomal RNA". It matches the Rfam family "Bacterial small subunit ribosomal RNA", at positions 28 to 507 of the family's 1533-position model. The record is from RNAcentral.
GACGAACGCUGGCGGCGUGCCUAAUACAUGCAAGUCGAGCGGACGGAUGGGAGCUUGCUCCCAGACCGUCAGCGGCGGACGGGUGAGUAACACGUGGGCAACCUGCCUGUAAGACUGGGAUAACUCCGGGAAACCGGGGCUAAUACCGGAUAACUCUUUCCCUCACAUGAGGGAAAGCUGAAAGAUGGCAUCUCGCUAUCACUUACAGAUGGGCCCGCGGCGCAUUAGCUAGUUGGUGAGGUAACGGCUCACCAAGGCGACGAUGCGUAGCCGACCUGAGAGGGUGAUCGGCCACACUGGGACUGAGACACGGCCCAGACUCCUACGGGAGGCAGCAGUAGGGAAUCUUCCGCAAUGGACGAAAGUCUGACGGAGCAACGCCGCGUGAGUGAUGAAGGUUUUCGGAUCGUAAAACUCUGUUGUCAGGGAAGAACAAGUACCGAAGUAACUGCCGGUACCUUGACGGUACCUGACCAGAAAGCCACGGCUAACUACGUG